AACGAACGCUGGCGGCAGGCCUAACACAUGCAAGUCGAACGCCCCGCAAGGGGAGUGGCAGACGGGUGAGUAACGCGUGGGAACGUACCCUUCGGUUCGGGAUAACUCAGGGAAACUUGAGCUAAUACCGGAUACGUCCGAGAGGAGAAAGAUUUAUCGCCGAGGGAUGAGCCCGCGUAGGAUUAGCUAGUUGGUGGGGUAAAGGCCUACCAAGGCGACGAUCCUUAGCUGGUCUGAGAGGAUGAUCAGCCACACUGGGACUGAGACACGGCCCAGACUCCUACGGGAGGCAGCAGUGGGGAAUAUUGGACAAUGGGCGAAAGCCUGAUCCAGCAAUGCCGCGUGAGUGAUGAAGGCCCUAGGGUUGUAAAGCUCUUUUACCCGGGAAGAUAAUGACUGUACCGGGAGAAUAAGCCCCGGCUAAC
Molecule: ribosomal RNA, 425 nt
Filed under: uncultured bacterium
Lineage: Bacteria
Description: bacterial SSU rRNA
Rfam family: Bacterial small subunit ribosomal RNA
Source: RNAcentral